UACAGAGGUCUCAAGCGUUGUUCGGAUUCAUUGGGCGUAAAGGGUGCGUAGGCGGCUUGUCGCGUCAACUGUGAAAACCCGUGGCUCAACCAUGUGGUCUGCAGUCGAUACGGGCAGGCUAGAAUUCGGUAGGGGAGACUGGAAUUCCUGGUGUAGCGGUGAAAUGCGCAGAUAUCAGGAGGAACACCGGUGGCGAAGGCGGGUCUCUGGGCCGAUAUUGACGCUGAGGAACGAAAGCGUGGGGAGCAAACAGG
Molecule: ribosomal RNA, 254 nt
Filed under: uncultured bacterium
Lineage: Bacteria
Description: partial 16S ribosomal RNA
Rfam family: Bacterial small subunit ribosomal RNA
Source: RNAcentral